Molecule: ribosomal RNA, 831 nt
Filed under: alpha proteobacterium SCGC AAA288-F19
Lineage: Bacteria; Pseudomonadati; Pseudomonadota; Alphaproteobacteria
Description: SSU rRNA
Rfam family: Bacterial small subunit ribosomal RNA
Source: RNAcentral
GACGCUGGCGGCCGCCUAACACAUGCAAGUCGAACGAAGUAGCAGUACUUAGUGGCAACUGGGUGAGUAUGAUGUGGGUAUCUGCCCUUUGGUAUGGAAUAACACGAGGAAACUUGUGCUAAUACUGUAUAAGCCUUCACAGGGAAAGCUUUAUGCGCCGAAGGAUGAGCCCGCACUUGAUUAGCUAGUUGGUAAGGUAAUAGCUUACCAAGGCUACGAUCAAUAGCUGAUCUGAGAGGAUGAUCAGCCACAUUGGGACUGAGACACGGCCCAAACUCCUACGGGAGGCAGCAGUGGGGAAUCUUGCACAAUGGGGGAAACCCUGAUGCAGCGAUGCCGCGUGAGUGAAGAAGGCCUUUGGGUUGUAAAGCUCUUUCGUCGGGGAAGAAAAUGACUGUACCCGAAUAAGAAGGUCCGGCUAACUUCGUGCCAGCAGCCGCGGUAAUACGAAGGGACCUAGCGUAGUUCGGAAUUACUGGGCUUAAAGAGCUCGUAGGUGGUUAGAAAAGUUAGUGGUGAAAUCCCAAGGCUUAACCUUGGAACUGCCACUAAAACUUUUUAACUAGAGUAUGGUAGAGGUAAGCGGAAUUUCUAGUGUAGAGGUGAAAUUAGUAGAUAUUAGAAAGAACCCCAAUUGCGAAAGGCAGCUUUCUGGAUCAUUACUGACACUGAGGAGCGAAAGCAUGGGUAGCCGAAGAGGAUUAGAUACCCUCGUAGUCCAUGCUGUAAACGAUGUGUGCUAGACGUGGAAAUUUAUUUUUCAGUGUCGCAGCAAACGCGUUAAGCACACCGCCUGGGGAGUACGACCGCAAGCGAUAAACUCAUGAUACG